Non-coding RNA from Triticum aestivum (bread wheat), 115 nucleotides. Lineage: Eukaryota; Viridiplantae; Streptophyta; Magnoliopsida; Poales; Poaceae. The record is from Rfam.
UAUAUACUCCCUCCUUUCGGAAUUACUUGUCGCAGAAAUGGAUGUAUCUAGACAUAUUUUAGUUCAAGAUAUAUCCAUUUUCACGACAAGUAAUUCCGAACGGAGGGAGUACAUA